Molecule: ribosomal RNA, 499 nt
Filed under: uncultured bacterium
Lineage: Bacteria
Description: partial 16S ribosomal RNA
Rfam family: Bacterial small subunit ribosomal RNA
Source: RNAcentral
AUUGAACGCUGGCGGAAUGCUUUACACAUGCAAGUCGAACGGCAGCACGGGGGCAACCCUGGUGGCGAGUGGCGAACGGGUGAGUAAUACAUCGGAACGUGCCCAGUCGUGGGGGAUAACGUAGCGAAAGUUACGCUAAUACCGCAUACGAUCUACGGAUGAAAGCGGGGGACCGUAAGGCCUCGCGCGAUUGGAGCGGCCGAUGUCAGAUUAGGUAGUUGGUGAGGUAAAGGCUCACCAAGCCGACGAUCUGUAGCUGGUCUGAGAGGACGACCAGCCACACUGGGACUGAGACACGGCCCAGACUCCUACGGGAGGCAGCAGUGGGGAAUUUUGGACAAUGGGCGCAAGCCUGAUCCAGCCAUUCCGCGUGCAGGACGAAGGCCUUCGGGUUGUAAACUGCUUUUGUACGGAACGAAAAGGCUCUGGUUAAUACCAGGGGCUCAUGACGGUACCGUAAGAAUAAGCACCGGCUAACUACGUGCCAGCCGCCGCCUAA